CCUACGGGAGGCAGCAGUGGGGGAUAUUGCACAAUGGGGGGAACCCUGAUGCAGCGACGCCGCGUGGGUGAAGGAGCGUUUCGGCGCGUAAAGCCCUAUCGGCAGGGAAGAAGGAGGACGGUACCUGACGAAGAAGCCCCGGCUAACUACGUGCCAGCAGCCGCGGUAAUACGGAGGGGGCAAGCGUUAUCCGGAUUUACUGGGUGUAAAGGGGGCGCAGACGGCAGCGCAAGCCAGGAGUGAAAGCCCGGGGCCCAACCCCGGGACUGCUCUUGGAACUGCGCGGCUGGAGUGCAGGAGGGGCAGGCGGAAUGCCUGGUGUAGCGGGGAAAUGCGUAGAUAUCAGGAGGAACACCGGUGGCGAAGGCGGCCUGCUGGACUGCGACUGACGUUGAGGCCCGAAAGCGUGGGGAGCAAACAGGAUUAGAUACUCCAGUAGUC
RNAcentral lists this ribosomal RNA (441 nucleotides) under uncultured bacterium. Its description in RNAcentral is "partial 16S ribosomal RNA". It matches the Rfam family "Bacterial small subunit ribosomal RNA", at positions 338 to 795 of the family's 1533-position model. The record is from RNAcentral.